Molecule: ribosomal RNA, 450 nt
Filed under: uncultured bacterium
Lineage: Bacteria
Description: bacterial SSU rRNA
Rfam family: Bacterial small subunit ribosomal RNA
Source: RNAcentral
GUGGGGAAUAUUGGACAAUGGGCGAAAGCCUGAUCCAGCCAUGCCGCGUGUGUGAAGAAGGUCUUCGGAUUGUAAAGCACUUUAAGUUGGGAGGAAGGGCAGUAAGUUAAUACCUUGCUGUUUUGACGUUACCGACAGAAUAAGCACCGGCUAACUUCGUGCCAGCAGCCGCAGUAAUACGAAGGGUGCAAGCGUUAAUCGGAAUUACUGGGCGUAAAGCGCGCGUAGGUGGUUUUGUAAGUUGGAGGUGAAAUCCCCGGGCUCAACCUGGGAACUGCCUCCAAAACUGCAUGACUAGAGUACGGUAGAGGGUAGUGGAAUUUCCUGUGUAGCGGUGAAAUGCGUAGAUAUAGGAAGGAACACCAGUGGCGAAGGCGACUACCUGGACUGAUACUGACACUGAGGUGCGAAAGCGUGGGGAGCAAACAGGAUUAGAUACCCGUGUAGUCC